Molecule: ribosomal RNA, 253 nt
Filed under: uncultured bacterium
Lineage: Bacteria
Description: partial 16S ribosomal RNA
Rfam family: Bacterial small subunit ribosomal RNA
Source: RNAcentral
UACGGGGGGGGCAAGCGUUGUUCGGAAUUACUGGGCGUAAAGGGCUCGUAGGUGGCCAACUAAGUCAGACGUGAAAUCCCUCGGCUUAACCUGGGAACUGCGUCUGAUACUGGGAGGCUUGAGCAUGGGAGAGGGAUGUAGAAUUCCAGGUGUAGCGGUGAAAUGCGUAGAUAUCUGGAGGAAUACCGGUGGCGAAGGCGGCAUCCUGGACCAUAACUGACGCUGAGGCGCGAAAGCUAGGGGAGCAAACGGG